Molecule: ribosomal RNA, 502 nt
Filed under: uncultured euryarchaeote
Lineage: Archaea; Methanobacteriati; Methanobacteriota
Description: bacterial SSU rRNA
Rfam family: Archaeal small subunit ribosomal RNA
Source: RNAcentral
ACACUUUACAAUGCGGGAAACCGCGAUAAGGGAACCCCGAGUGCCAGCAUCAAAUGUUGGCUGUCCAGAUGAUCAAAAAUCAUUUGUUAGCAAGGGCCGGGCAAGACCGGUGCCAGCCGCCGCGGUAACACCGGCGGCCCGAGUGGUAGCCGUUUUUAUUGGGUCUAAAGGGUCCGUAGCCGGCCUGAUAAGUCCUUUGGGAAAUCUGGCAGCUUAACUGUCAGGCUUYUAAGGGAUACUGUCAGGCUUGGGACCGGAAGAGGUAAGGGGUACUCCAGGGGUAGGAGUGAAAUCUUGUAAUCCCUGGGGGACCAUCUGUGGCGAAGGCGCCUUACCAGAACGGGUCCGACGGUGAGGGACGAAAGCUAGGGGAGCAAACCGGAUUAGAUACCCGGGUAGUCCUAGCUGUAAACGAUGCUCGCUAGGUGUCAGACACGGUGCGACCGUGUUUGGUGCCGCAGGGAAGCCGUUAAGCGAGCCACCUGGAAGUACGUCGCAAGGC